AAAGAUUAAGCCAUGCAUGUCUAAGUAUAAGCAAUCUAUACCGUGAAACUGCGAAUGGCUCAUUAAAUCAGUUAUCGUUUAUUUGAUAGUACCUUACUACUUGGAUAACCGUGGUAAUUCUAGAGCUAAUACAUGCUAAAAACCCCGACUUCGGAAGGGGUGUAUUUAUUAGAUAAAAAACCAAUGCCCUUCGGGGCUCCUUGGUGAUUCAUAAUAACUUAACGAAUCGCAUGGCCUUGUGCCGGCGAUGGUUCAUUCAAAUUUCUGCCCUAUCAACUUUCGAUGGUAUGGUCUUGGCUUACCAUGGUUUCAACGGGUAACGGGGAAUUAGGGUUCUAUUCCGGAGAGGGAGCCUGAGAAACGGCUACCACAUCCAAGGAAGGCAGCAGGCGCGCAAAUUACCCAAUCCCGACACGGGGAGGUAGUGACAAUAAAUACUGAUACAGGGCUCUUUUGGGUCUUGUAAUUGGAAUGAGUACAAUUUAAAUCCCUUAACGAGGAACAAUUGGAGGGCAAGUCUGGUGCCAGCAGCCGCGGUAAUUCCAGCUCCAAUAGCGUAUAUUAAAGUUGUUGCAGUUAAAAAGCUCGUAGUUGAACCUUGGGCCUGGUUGGCCGGUCCGCCUCACCGCGUGCACUGGUCCGACCGGGUCUUUCCUUCUGAGGAGCCGCAUGCCCUUCACUGGGUGUGUCGGGGAAUCAGGACUUUUACUUUGAAAAAAUUAAAGUGUUCAGAGCAGGCCUAUGCUCGAAUACAUUAGCAUGGAAUAAUAGAAUANGACGUGUGGUUCUAUUUUGUUGGGUUCUAGGACCGCCGUAAUGAUUAA
RNAcentral lists this ribosomal RNA (824 nucleotides) under Diplococcium spicatum. RNAcentral's name for it is "SSU rRNA". It matches the Rfam family "Eukaryotic small subunit ribosomal RNA", at positions 39 to 872 of the family's 1831-position model. Lineage: Eukaryota; Fungi; Ascomycota; Sordariomycetes; Sordariales; Helminthosphaeriaceae. The record is from RNAcentral.